RNAcentral lists this long non-coding RNA (530 nucleotides) under Homo sapiens (human). RNAcentral's name for it is "non-protein coding lnc-ZSCAN30-5:1". Lineage: Eukaryota; Metazoa; Chordata; Mammalia; Primates; Hominidae. The record is from RNAcentral.
AGCACAGGAGUCAGCCUGCUCUGAUUUGCUAGUGAUGUCCUAACCAAUCUCCCUGAAAAAUUAUCUGUGAAAUUUAUUUCUAUACAUCCAACAAGCACAAUGAACUCUAGGUAGAAUAAAUUCAGUGAGGUCCACAUCAAGAACAUUGUAAUCAAACUGUUGAAUGUCAAAGACAGAGAAUCUUGAAAGCAACAAGAAAGAAUCAACUAUCAUGUACAAGGGAACCUUAGUAAGAUGAACAGUUGGCUAUUUAUCAGGAACUAUGGAAGCCAGAAAACAGUGGGCAUAUUUAAAGUGCUGAAAGAAAAGAACCUAUCAACCAAGAAUUCUGUAUCUGGCAAAAUUGCCCUUCAAAAGUGAGGAAGAAAUUGAGAUAUUCCCAAUAAACAAAAGCUGAGGGGUUCACUACAAGUAGACCUGCCCUGCAAGAAAUGCUACAAGAUGUCCUCAAGUUGAAAUGAAAGGACACUAAAUGGUAACUUGAAGCUGUAUGAAGAAAUAAAGGUCUACAGUAAAGGUAACUACAUGGG